This 253-nucleotide ribosomal RNA is filed under the name uncultured Eubacteriales bacterium. RNAcentral describes it as "uncultured Clostridiales bacterium partial 16S ribosomal RNA". It matches the Rfam family "Bacterial small subunit ribosomal RNA", at positions 524 to 776 of the family's 1533-position model. Lineage: Bacteria; Bacillati; Bacillota; Clostridia; Eubacteriales. The record is from RNAcentral.
UACGUAGGGGGCAAGCGUUAUCCGGAUUUACUGGGUGUAAAGGGAGCGUAGACGGUGAAGCAAGUCUGAAGUGAAAGGCGGGGGCUCAACCCCCGGACUGCUUUGGAAACUGUUUGACUGGAGUGCAGGAGAGGUAAGUGGAAUUCCUAGUGUAGCGGUGAAAUGCUUAGAUAUUACUCAGAACACCGAUUGCGCAGGCAGCUUGCUAAUCCGCAUCUGACGCUGAUGCACGAAAGCGUGGGUAGCGAACAGG